GGAGCUGUCGCAGCUGUGUGUCGGGAUCAAACUGGCCUAUAUCUAGGAUCUUCGGCGGUGGUUCUACGGGAAAUCAAUGAUCCUCUGAUCUUGGAAACAUGCACAUGCAGAGAAGCAUUGUCAUUAGCAGAGGAUCUGGCGAUCAGAGAGGUUUGGGUGGCUUCAGAUUGCCAGGAGGCAAUCAAUGACAUCAACAGAGGGAUAGGAGGUCCAAAUGCUUCUAUAGUACAUGAAAUAACGAUCCGGUGUAAUAGUUUUAUUUCUAGUUCUUUCAUACACGAGCGUAGGAAUUUUAAUGUUGAGGCUCAUAAUCUCGCCAAGUUUGCAUGUAAUCUUGAGGUAGGUAGACAUCUUUGGUUGGGUAAUCCUCAUGACCCAAACCUUGUACCUAUGAUGAUUGCUUUGGAUGAAUAA
RNAcentral lists this ribosomal RNA (414 nucleotides) under Triticum aestivum (bread wheat). RNAcentral describes it as "partial small subunit ribosomal RNA". Lineage: Eukaryota; Viridiplantae; Streptophyta; Magnoliopsida; Poales; Poaceae. The record is from RNAcentral.